This 425-nucleotide ribosomal RNA is filed under the name uncultured bacterium. RNAcentral's name for it is "partial 16S ribosomal RNA". It matches the Rfam family "Bacterial small subunit ribosomal RNA", at positions 354 to 796 of the family's 1533-position model. The record is from RNAcentral.
GUGGGGAAUCUUAGACAAUGGGCGCAAGCCUGAUCUAGCCAUGCCGCGUGAGCGAUGAAGGCCUUAGGGUUGUAAAGCUCUUUCGUGGGGGAAGAUAAUGACUGUACCCCAAGAAGAAGCCCCGGCUAACUCCGUGCCAGCAGCCGCGGUAAUACGGAGGGGGCUAGCGUUGUUCGGAAUUACUGGGCGUAAAGCGCACGUAGGCGGACUGGAAAGUCAGGGGUGAAAUCCCGGGGCUCAACCCCGGAACUGCCUUCAAAACUCCUGGUCUGGAGUUCGAGAGAGGUGAGUGGAAUUCCGAGUGUAGAGGUGAAAUUCGUAGAUAUUCGGAGGAACACCAGUGGCGAAGGCGGCUCACUGGCUCGAUACUGACGCUGAGGUGCGAAAGCGUGGGGAGCAAACAGGAUUAGAUACCCUAGUAGUCC